GACGAACGCUGGCGGCGUGCUUAACACAUGCAAGUCGAACGGAAAGGCCCUGCUUUUGUGGGGUGCUCGAGUGGCGAACGGGUGAGUAACACGUGAGUAACCUGCCCUUGACUUUGGGAUAACUUCAGGAAACUGGGGCUAAUACCGGAUAGGAGCUCCUGCUGCAUGGUGGGGGUUGGAAAGUUUCGGCGGUUGGGGAUGGACUCGCGGCUUAUCAGCUUGUUGGUGGGGUAGUGGCUUACCGAGGCUGUGACGGGUAGCCGGCCUGAGAGGGUGACCGGCCCCAUUGGGAGCGAGGGACGGCCCAGACUGCUACGGGAGGCAUCAGUGGGGCAUAGUCCACCAUGGGCGGAAGCCUGACGCCGCAACGCCGCGUGCGGGAUGACGGCCCUCGGGUGGCAUACCGCUUGGGCCUGGGACGGCGCGUGAGUGCCGCCAACGGGUAUGGAAGGACCGGAGAAUCACCUG
Molecule: ribosomal RNA, 468 nt
Filed under: uncultured bacterium
Lineage: Bacteria
Description: partial 16S ribosomal RNA
Rfam family: Bacterial small subunit ribosomal RNA
Source: RNAcentral